UCUUGUUUAGUGUAAAAAUGAAACACUGUGGUUUUACAGGGCGUUAUGUCCCAGACUAUUUCUUGGGCCGGAGGAGUAACUUCCUGGAGUCUUGUUGUCAGGAUGAGGUUGCCAGGCAACCAGUGGAGACUCCAGGUAGUUACAGUGAUAAUGAGUGACCAUUAAAGGUGCUGAUAUGUGAAUUAUGUUACAGUUGAACAGAGCUAGGCUAGCUGUUCCCCCUGUUAUUAGUCUUUAUGCUAAGCUAAGCUAAAAGGCUGCUGGCUGUACCUUACAGAUAUUAGGUGAUGUCAAUCUUCUAAUCUCACUCUCUGAAAUAACUUAGAUGUAGCCGAGAAACAACAGACAUUUUUUACAAGUACAAUGUCAUUUCUAAAACAAAUCUUUCAGUUACAGAUCUUACAAACUUUAAAUAGUUAUUAUCAUCCCUUCCACCCAUCUGUGACUUCAUUGUACAAAAAGGGAAGUGACACAUUCAUUUAAACCCUAUGAAUAAUAAAGUUUGACUGUGGGCAAGAGAAGGUGUUUCAUAAAGCCCUCCCCAUGCUUCAUUUUGCAGGAAGGUUUUUUUAACAGUUAGCUGUGAACUAGAAUUUAGUUUUCUUUCAGACUCACUGAGGGUCACAACAGUAAAAUGUCUGAGGCUGAUGGAAUAGUGUACUCUGAUGUUAAGUUCACAAGAGCGAAGAGAAACACCCGUGGGACCGCUUCCUCAGAGGCUGAACCCACAUACUCUGAAGUCAGGAUCUUGAAGACUCAUCCAUCCACAGAGCUCCCUGGUUCCCAACAACACCCAGUGUCAAAUGGAGGGUCAAAGGUCACACCAGAGAGAGUGGUCAUAGUAGUUCUCAGUGCUCUCCUGGCAGCUGCUGUCAUCGCUCUCGGCUUUACCUGUGAGUUUGUUCUUUUUAAAGUGAAUUCAUCUGGAUUGAAAUUGACAAACGUAUCUAAUUACAGUUAUUGAUAACAGAAAAUGUUUAUUUCAUAUAAUUAUUGAGAUUUUAAAGUGCAAAUAAUAAAGUAUGUAGUGAGAUCUAGUUUUUCUUAAUUCAUCGACUAAAAAAACACAAGUUAACAGAACUUUGUCAUUUAAUUUUUUAAUAAAUCACAACUUCUUCACAACACAUCUUCAACUUUUACUUUAAAUGCUGAUAAUUUAGGCCAAAUAAUAUAAACUGGAGUUUUUACAGUGCAGAGAGAUUUUACAUUGGAACAAGUUAAAAUGAUGACUUUCAUUUUUGGAACCCAAACUUUAUCUUAAUUAGUUCAUAUUUCUGCAAUAAACACAUUUAUUAUCAAACACUGAUGAUUUACUAAUGCAGUGUUUGACCUCUGCUUUCUUUUUUUAAUCAGCUCUUGAUAACAUGCACACCAAGCAAAGUUUCCAGACUCUGAGAGACGAACUUGAAGCUGUGAAAAGAAAUCUCACAGGUAAUCCAGUCAGGUUUAGAAACUGUCUAAAAAGGUUCAGUCUACAAGUUAAAAGUCUACUCUAACCUACAUUUUGCAACACUGCAAGAUCCUUUUAAAAUGUGAC
This 1537-nucleotide long non-coding RNA is filed under the name Dicentrarchus labrax (European seabass). RNAcentral's name for it is "lncRNA (ENSDLAG00005027428.1)". Lineage: Eukaryota; Metazoa; Chordata; Actinopteri; Moronidae. The record is from RNAcentral.